This 71-nucleotide transfer RNA is filed under the name Loxodonta africana (African savanna elephant). It matches the Rfam family "tRNA". From Rfam's summary of the family: Transfer RNA (tRNA) molecules are approximately 80 nucleotides in length. Their secondary structure includes four short double-helical elements and three loops (D, anti-codon, and T loops). Further hydrogen bonds mediate the characteristic L-shaped molecular structure. tRNAs have two regions of fundamental functional importance: the anti-codon, which is responsible for specific mRNA codon recognition, and the 3' end, to which the tRNAs corresponding amino acid is attached (by aminoacyl-tRNA synthetases). tRNAs cope with the degeneracy of the genetic code in two manners: having more than one tRNA (with a specific anti-codon) for a particular amino acid; and 'wobble' base-pairing, i.e. permitting non-standard base-pairing at the 3rd anti-codon position. The record is from Rfam by way of RNAcentral. Lineage: Eukaryota; Metazoa; Chordata; Mammalia; Proboscidea; Elephantidae.
GCAUUGGAAGUUCAGUGGUAGAAGCCUUGCCUUCCAUGUGAGAGAUCCAGGUUCAAUUCCUGGCCAAUGCA